RNAcentral lists this ribosomal RNA (455 nucleotides) under uncultured bacterium. RNAcentral describes it as "partial 16S ribosomal RNA". It matches the Rfam family "Bacterial small subunit ribosomal RNA", at positions 355 to 801 of the family's 1533-position model. The record is from RNAcentral.
UAGGGAAUCUUCCACAAUGGACGCAAGUCUGAUGGAGCAACGCCGCGUGAGUGAAGAAGGUUUUCGGACCGUAAAGCUCUGUUGUUGGUGAAGAAGGAUAGAGGUAGUAACUGGCCCUUUAUUUGACGGUAAUCAACCAGAAAGUCACGGCUAACUACGUGCCAGCAGCCGCGGUAAUACGUAGGUGGCAAGCGUUGUCCGGAUUUAUUGGGCGUAAAGCGAGCGCAGGCGGAAGAAUAAGUCUGAUGUGAAAGCCCUCGGCUUAACCGAGGAAUUGCACCGGAAACUGUUUUUCUUGAGUGCAGAAGAGGAGAGUAGAACUCCAUGUGUAGCGGUGGAAUGCGUAGAUAUAUGGAAGAAUACCAGUGGCGAAGGCGGCUCUCUGGUCUGCAACUGACGCUGAGGCUCGAAAGCAUGGGUAGCGAACAGGAUUAGAUACCCUGGUAGUCCAUGCC